This 317-nucleotide long non-coding RNA is filed under the name Pongo abelii (Sumatran orangutan). RNAcentral's name for it is "lincRNA". Lineage: Eukaryota; Metazoa; Chordata; Mammalia; Primates; Hominidae. The record is from RNAcentral.
AUUCUGAGGACUUCCCCUGGCAUGCGGAACUGUAAGUCCAAAUACAAGAGGAUUCACUCCAAAUUGUACGCCACACUCAGGCAUGGGACUAAGAACGAUCUACAAUCAGACAGUGAUUCAAAAGACUCAGCUAAGUGCUACAUAAUGAGCAACUUGUGCUCCUCAACCAAAUGGCACAGCAAGAAGACAGCCAUUGGUGAAACAGGAAGAAGAACUUCAUCAGAACCCAAUCUUUGUGGCACCCUAAUCUUGGACUUUCCAACCUCCAGAGCUAUGAGAAAUAAAUUUAUGUUGUUUAAGCCAUUCUAGUCUAUAAU